This 1047-nucleotide long non-coding RNA is filed under the name Fragaria vesca (wild strawberry). Its description in RNAcentral is "long non-coding RNA (FVES_LNC003980)". Lineage: Eukaryota; Viridiplantae; Streptophyta; Magnoliopsida; Rosales; Rosaceae. The record is from RNAcentral.
UACAUAUAUACCAGAAGCACUGGAUUUGGACCAUUUUUCAUAUAUUGAUCACAGAUGGACAAAUAUUAUUCAUAUAUACAAAAUAAUUAAUGAAUUAACUAGGUAGAAAAUUGUUCAUACAAUGUAGCUAAACUAUGAAUCUUCUACAAAAUCAAUAAUUCUAAGGCCGUCCGUUGUCCAAUUAUAUAUUAUUGCCUAGAUCAUCAUUGUUUUGUGGGGAAACAUGUGGAGGAGGAGAAGCAUCUGGAGCUGGAGGAGGAAACUGUGGAGGAGGAGGAGGUGGCAUACCUAGGUGCUCAUAUAAGGCUGCAACUUGGGACUGCACAGCACUAUACAUAGACUCAGCACGCAGGGCACGCUGCUGGACCUCUUGGAAUUGCUGUUGGGCACGCUACUGGACCUCUGUUAACUGUUGCUAGGCACGAUCCUCUGAUUCCUUUAAACUCUGCUCAUAGCGCUGCUGCACCUCUUGGAGUUGUUGCUCAUCAACUCUAGGAGGACGACUACGUGAAGUGGAACCAUUUGAAGAAUGGGUCAAGUCUCGCUCGCCUUCUCAUCCCAUCCCUCUGAUCUCCUUUCCUUUGCGAGUUUUGAGCACCGUACCCAACACCUCAAUUUGUUGGGACCGAACACUUUCCAUAAUUUGCUCCUCCGUCGCGUCAGGGUGUUGUUCCUUAAAUGCAUCAUUUCGUUUAUUGACCUCAUCAACCAUGUCAUUCUGCAUGCAUUUAAAAAAUAUCAAUAAAGUUUCCAUAAUAAAGUUUACUGGUUGCAUAAUAAACAGAGAAGCUACUAGGGGUCAGCAAACAUGUAAUUCAUUAUCUCCCUUUCAGUUUCAUGGCCACAACACACAACAAAUACCCUAAUAAACAACUUUAUUGCUCCUUAGAAAACCCAGUAGAAGUUUACUGCCCCCCAGUAAACUUCUACUAGGGGUCAGUAAACUUGCAAUUUAUUAUCUCCCUUUCAUGGCCACAACACACAACAAAUACCCUAAUAAACAACUUUAUUACUCCCUAGUAAACCCAGUAGAAGUUUACUGCCCCC